Molecule: ribosomal RNA, 416 nt
Filed under: uncultured beta proteobacterium
Lineage: Bacteria; Pseudomonadati; Pseudomonadota; Betaproteobacteria
Description: bacterial SSU rRNA
Rfam family: Bacterial small subunit ribosomal RNA
Source: RNAcentral
GAGUUUGAUCCUGGCUCAGAUUGAACGCUGGCGGAAUGCUUUACACAUGCAAGUCGAGCGGCAGCGCGGGGGCAACCCUGGCGGCGAGCGGCGAACGGGUGAGUAAUACAUCGGAACAUGUCCAGUCGUGGGGGAUAGCCCGGCGAAAGCCGGAUUAAUACCGCAUGAGCUCUGGCGAGGAAAGCGGGGGACCGAAAGGCCUCGCGCGAUUGGGUUGGCCGAUGUCCGAUUAGCUAGUUGGUGGGGUAAAGGCCUACCAAGGCGAUGAUCGGUAGCUGGUCUGAGAGGAUGAUCAGCCACACUGGGACUGAGACACGGCCCAGACUCCUACGGGAGGCAGCAGUGGGGAAUUUUGGACAAUGGGGGAAACCCUGAUCCAGCCAUUCCGCGUGAGUGAAGAAGGCCUCGGUUGUAAG